Catharus ustulatus (Swainson's thrush) is the source of this 1703-nucleotide long non-coding RNA. The record is from Ensembl. NCBI's taxonomy places the organism in Eukaryota, Metazoa, Chordata, Aves, Passeriformes, Turdidae.
CAGAUUCUGACUGAGACAUUGCAGUCUUGAGAAGAUCAAGAUAUUUUGUGUGACCAGUUCGCUGGAUGCAGCACCCGUGUGGAAUCUGAUGGUCUGUGAUUGGCAAGCCAGGUGGCAGCUCUUCACCCUGCAGCUCUGGCAGGGCUGCUCACAGCAGGCCAAGGAAUUCCUGGCAGUUCUUCUCAGUGGAGAGGCUUUCACCACACACAAGUACUGUGAAAUCCACCCACGUGUUUGGGAGGGUGACAGCACAGAACCACAGAACAUCACUCGAGUGCCCGUGACAGCAACUGGAGCAACAGCAACGGAAGCUCUGGAGGAAGGGGAUGAGAAACUCCCUCCCACCACCUGACUCCUGUGGGAUGCUGCUUGGAUACAGGUUGAGGCAGCCACUGAAGUCAUCGCUGUCUGUGGGCUGCUGAGUUUCUAACUUGAUGUUUUAUGGGGAUCUGUCUAUCAAAAUAUUUGGGAUCUGCUGAUCUGUGGUUUCUGUGCUGGUUUCAGAAGGAUGUGUUGGCCUCACACAAGCCACAGUAAGGCACCAUCAUGCUCAAAUGCUGACUGAAUUAGAUGCUUUUUGAGCCUGGUUGUCAGGGGAAAGCCAUACGUGUGCAACAAGCUGUUGGAAAUAGUUUUGAAGGGGUGUUCCAAGUCUCCAGUGCUCCUACUCUGACUGGGCAACGUAGUGCUUGCCUAAGUAUUGUUUCAGAGGAACAGUCACAAUGGGAAUGUGCAGAUAUGUGAACAAUUGUUGGAUUUGAGACUUGCAAUCAAGGACCCAAAAUUCAUUUUAAAGGAAAAUAAAAUUUUCAAAGGAAUUUUUUCAAAGGAAAUGUUUCAUUGUCUUACCAAAAUUGCACUCCAUUUUGGUGCCUUCCACUAAAUGAGAGGAAGGGCAGGCUCCUGGUUGAGAUGAUGGGACAAGUAGCCCAGGGUCAGUUGCUGGUCCUAGCCCAGAUUUCCAGAACCUAAGUUACUCAAUCCUCCUUUUUAUUACAGUUCACUAUCAGGAGAUAAGGAUAAUAUUACUUUUCUCCACACUUCAUCUAUUUUAUCUAUUAAAUAAUGGGGAGAGACAUAGAGAAGAUUUAAUAUAAAGAUGCCCAAUGUCUUGCACAGUGGAGUACCUCAUCUUGAUUAAGGACUUACACAUUAUUGACGUUUAUAAUCAUUUCAUCAGUCCCAACAUAUUCCUUUCCACAAAGGAAGACUAUCACAGAAAACUGCAGUUAUGGAGCACAGGUAACUGGGUAUUACAUGUGUGUCUGUCUGGUUUAAAGAGCCAUAUUUAUCUGUCUAGGUGUGGGCAAUGUGUUAGAGGCUGAGUGGUUCAGCAGGCAACCAAGUCUUGUGAUGGAGAAUUUAUUGUGGCUGAAAGGCUGAAGACUGACUCCUCAUUUUCACAUGAUGGUUCCCAAAAGUAGCAAUUAUUCACUGUUCAUCUACACCAUGAAAGACUAACAUAUAUAGUAAAAACUAAUACAGGUAUUUUAACUGUUUUGGCACAGAUUACCAUAAGUCUAUUUUGAUUCAUAACUGUCAUAUCCAUUCUGUGUUCUGUAAGCAAGAUAAAAGUGUAAGGCUAUACUGUUUCCAAAUUGUGAUGAGUCAAUAGUAGACUAUUUAAAGCUUCCUAUUCAGGUGAGUGGAGAUCCCCAUGUCUCCUUUCAAAUUUAUUAUCUUCCUUCCUGCCUUUAAUUGUC